UCAUUGCCUUUGUUCCUGGGCUGAGCGAGUCCUCUCCCUGCUCGGCACAAGUGCCAACAGUCCAAGGCCGAUCUCGAGCUGGCAUUUUGGGGCCACCAGGAAGAAGCGCCUGGCCCUGUGCAUUGUGGUUACCACGGGGGAGUGUGACAGAGUACAACAGACUGUCACAAGGGUGGUAGUGCUAGUGCUGGAGGAGGGGACCAGCACCUAACCCUGCCAAUGCUCAGGGAAGAAUAAACAGGAGGAGAAGCAGAUUUUGGUGCCCAGCUGCAAUGGACUCUGGUCGUACCUCUGGGUUCGCACAGAGAGUGACUGUGUGUGCCUAGAUUGAUUGGGCCUGUUCCUCCAAUUGCAGCAUCUCGCUGUUAAGCAGCCAGUUGGGUUGGUACCUCGAUACCACACCAACGAUUGCAUUAAAUUGCCCCCGCUGGAGUUUCAUAUAAGGGGCAUGCGCCCCCCCCCCCGAAUCCUGAAUUGUGUCAUUCUCUCUGCUCUUUAGGGAGCGCUGUGAGGUUUCAAGGACGCUCCCGGCCCUUUGGGGUUCAGAAGAACAUUCUGGAACAGCAGAGCGUGUUGAAUGCCAGGACCCGAACCGUCUCAGAGAGCUCCACCAUCUCCAUGGAGGAGGACGCCUUGCGACCCCCAGAAGGCACAGGCGAGGGAGUUGCUGUAGAGCGGCCGUCAACGGAGGGGGCAGAGCGAGAAGAGGCAAAGGGCUCAGGGUUUGGCUGGUUCAGUUGGUUUCGAUCAAAGCCCUCCAAGGAGGUGACGCCUUCCAGAGAUGUGUCCGGCCCUGCCCCAGUCUCUGCUGCACUGGGGUCCCAGGUAACAAGAGGACUAGAGGGGGCUUUUUACGUCACAGGGAUUUCAGAGGAGCUCUCCUCCCCACCCUCAGUCUGAAGAGGGGCCUUUCUCCUCUUACCUCCCACUCCCAGGAUAGCGGAGGUGCUGGUGGAGCCUUGUGCCAGGACUGGAAGAGCAGAGGUGGCUUCAGGUCAGGGAUGUAGGACCGUGGCAGAGGGGUGUGUGUGUGUGUGUGAAGUUUGCACACUGCCUGCACUAUUGCUCCCCGUCACCUCCCUGACUCUCCCUUUCAUGAUCAAGUUCACUUUUGCCAGUGUUCUCCCCCUUCUGGUGUAACCUCCCUGGCCCUCACACCGUGCACAUCUCCAUGCCAAGGCUGAAUGGCCCAGAGUUCAUUGCUGGGUAGAGGUAGUCCUGUGACCCUUGCUGUGGCAGGGGACUAAGCCCUUGGUGCAUGCAUGUUCUCAGACAGCUAACUGGUGCCAGACACCCUGUAAAGGGAACCAUGGUGCCUGGAGACACCCCAGUGGACAGACGGCCCAGAGGAUAGUUAACACUGGGUACAGUUAAGCGAACAGGAACGACUGGUGAAAUCGUGACCCUAUUGAAGCCAAUAGGAGUUUUGCCAUUGACUUCAAUGGAGCUAGGAUUUCACCCCUUAUCUUUAUCUUCAUUCAUCCUCCACUAGUUUGUCUCUCCAGCUUCAGGGCACCACCCGACUGCCAAGGUUUUCACUACAACCAUGUGUUCUUUACAUGCCACUGUACUUGGGGAUUUAUUUAUCAGUGGGACAGAAACUGAUAACUUGAGGUCUCCAUCCUGAAGCAAAUUCUCAUUUCUAAUAAUUGUAUAUUUAUAAAGUAACUUUGAUCCAGAAGGCUCUCCAAGAGCUCUGCAAACUCCGUGGGGGUCACUUGGCCUCUGCUGAAGGGAAAAGCAGCAGCUGAUAGCAGCAAAUGGCAACACUUCCACAGUUUUUAGUAGCUGAAGUGAAGAAUAAAUUCCCCCAUUGGAACUGCA
RNAcentral lists this long non-coding RNA (1824 nucleotides) under Chrysemys picta bellii (western painted turtle). Its description in RNAcentral is "lncRNA (ENSCPBG00000014540.1)". Lineage: Eukaryota; Metazoa; Chordata; Testudines; Emydidae. The record is from RNAcentral.